RNAcentral lists this ribosomal RNA (405 nucleotides) under Actinomycetes bacterium. RNAcentral's name for it is "Actinobacteria bacterium partial 16S ribosomal RNA". It matches the Rfam family "Bacterial small subunit ribosomal RNA", at positions 355 to 776 of the family's 1533-position model. The record is from RNAcentral. Lineage: Bacteria; Bacillati; Actinomycetota; Actinomycetes.
UCGGGAAUAUUGCGCAAUGGAGGAAACUCUGACGCAGUGACGCCGCGUGCAGGAAGAAGGUUUUCGGAUUGUAAACUGCUUUAGACAGGGAAGAAACAAGACAGUACCUGUAGAAUAAGCUCCGGCUAACUACGUGCCAGCAGCCGCGGUAAUACGUAGGGAGCAAGCGUUAUCCGGAUUUAUUGGGUGUAAAGGGUGCGUAGACGGGAAAUUAAGUUAGUUGUGAAAUCCCUCGGCUUAACUGAGGAACUGCAACUAAAACUGGUUUUCUUGAGUGCUGGAGAGGAAAGUGGAAUUCCUAGUGUAGCGGUGAAAUGCGUAGAUAUUAGGAGGAACACCAGUGGCGAAGGCGACUUUCUGGACAGUAACUGACGUUGAGGCACGAAAGUGUGGGGAGCAAACAGG